UCCCUCCAAAAUGAAAAGUUUUUGAAUGUUGAAUAAGUUCUCCACUACUACUAGAGGAAUAAUACAUUGUCUUUCAUACAGACUUGACCUAUUAAGCAAUUCUUCUUUUCUCAAGUCAUGCCUGAACUUCCUCAUAAGCAUUGAAAUGGAGCUCUCUGUGUAGAAUUUGCAAGAUAAUUGGUUAAAU
This 187-nucleotide long non-coding RNA is filed under the name Ictidomys tridecemlineatus (thirteen-lined ground squirrel). RNAcentral's name for it is "lncRNA (ENSSTOG00000030786.1)". The record is from RNAcentral. Lineage: Eukaryota; Metazoa; Chordata; Mammalia; Rodentia; Sciuridae.